RNAcentral lists this ribosomal RNA (253 nucleotides) under uncultured bacterium. RNAcentral's name for it is "partial 16S ribosomal RNA". It matches the Rfam family "Bacterial small subunit ribosomal RNA", at positions 524 to 776 of the family's 1533-position model. The record is from RNAcentral.
UACGUAGGGUGCGAGCGUUGUCCGGAAUUAUUGGGCGUAAAGAGCUUGUAGGCGGUUUGUCGCGUCUGCCGUGAAAAUCCGGGGCUCAACCCCGGACUUGCGGUGGGUACGGGCAGACUAGAGUGUGGUAGGGGAGACUGGAAUUCCUGGUGUAGCGGUGAAAUGCGCAGAUAUCAGGAGGAACACCAAUGGCGAAGGCAGCUCACUGGGACGGUAUUGACGCUGAGACGCGAAAGCGUGGGGAGCAAACAGG